Molecule: ribosomal RNA, 897 nt
Filed under: uncultured bacterium
Lineage: Bacteria
Description: bacterial SSU rRNA
Rfam family: Bacterial small subunit ribosomal RNA
Source: RNAcentral
GAACGCUAGCUACAGGCUUAACACAUGCAAGUCGAGGGGAAACGACAUCGAAAGCUUGCUUUUGAUGGGCGUCGACCGGCGCACGGGUGAGUAACGCGUAUCCAACCUGCCCACCACUUGGGGAUAACCUUGCGAAAGUAAGACUAAUACCCAAUGAUAUCUCUAGAAGACAUCUGAAAGAGAUUAAAGAUUUAUCGGUGAUGGAUGGGGAUGCGUCUGAUUAGCUUGUUGGCGGGGUAACGGCCCACCAAGGCAACGAUCAGUAGGGGUUCUGAGAGGAAGGUCCCCCACAUUGGAACUGAGACACGGUCCAAACUCCUACGGGAGGCAGCAGUGAGGAAUAUUGGUCAAUGGACGAGAGUCUGAACCAGCCAAGUAGCGUGCAGGAUGACGGCCCUAUGGGUUGUAAACUGCUUUUAUAAGGGAAUAAAGUGAGUCUCGUGAGACUUUUUGCAUGUACCUUAUGAAUAAGGACCGGCUAAUUCCGUGCCAGCAGCCGCGGUAAUACGGAAGGUCCGGGCGUUAUCCGGAUUUAUUGGGUUUAAAGGGAGCGUAGGCCGGAGAUUAAGCGUGUUGUGAAAUGUAGAUGCUCAACAUCUGCACUGCAGCGCGAACUGGUUUCCUUGAGUACGCACAAAGUGGGCGGAAUUCGUGGUGUAGCGGUGAAAUGCUUAGAUAUCACGAAGAACUCCGAUUGCGAAGGCAGCUCACUGGAGCGCAACUGACGCUGAAGCUCGAAAGUGCGGGUAUCGAACAGGAUUAGAUACCCUGGUAGUCCGCACGGUAAACGAUGGAUGCCCGCUGUUGGUCUGAAUAGGUCAGCGGCCAAGCGAAAGCAUUAAGCAUCCCACCUGGGGAGUACGCCGGCAACGGUGAAACUCAAAGGAAUUGACGGAA